UACGUAGGGUGCAAGCGUUAAUCGGAAUUACUGGGCGUAAAGCGUGCGCAGGCGGUGAUGUAAGACAGAUGUGAAAUCCCCGGGCUUAACCUGGGAAUGGCAUUUGGGACUGCAAGGCUGGAGUGCGGCAGAGGAGACUGGAAUUCCUGGUGUAGCAGUGAAAUGUGUAGAUAUCAGGAGGAACACCGAUGGCGAAGGCAGGUCUCUGGGCUGACACUGACGCUCAUGCACGAAAGCGUGGGGAGCAAACAGG
Molecule: ribosomal RNA, 253 nt
Filed under: uncultured bacterium
Lineage: Bacteria
Description: partial 16S ribosomal RNA
Rfam family: Bacterial small subunit ribosomal RNA
Source: RNAcentral